AGCCGCGGGCCUCCGACGGCGGGAAGACAGCGCUGCGAGGAGGCGCCCGGGACAGUCAUGGAGCGCCGCGUGGGAGUGAGGGCCUGGGUGGAGGAGAACCGGGGCUCCUUCCAGCCCCCGGUCUGCAACAAGCUCAUGCACCAGGAGCAGCUCAAAGUCAUGUUCGUCGGAGGCCCCAACACCAGGAAGGACUAUCACAUCGAAGAGGGUGAAGAGGUAUUUUACCAGCUGGAGGGAGACAUGGUUCUCCGAGUCCUGGAGCAAGGGAAACACCGGGAUGUGGUCAUUCAGCAGGGAGAGAUAUUCCUCCUGCCUGCCAGGGUGCCCCACUCACCACAGAGGUUUGCCAACACCGUGGGGCUGGUGGUUGAGCGAAGGCGGCUGGAGACCGAGCUAGAUGGGCUCAGGUACUAUGUGGGCGACACCAUGGACGUUCUGUUUGAGAAGUGGUUCUACUGCAAGGACCUUGGCACGCAGUUGGCCCCCAUCAUCCAGGAGUGAGCCCCCAGCCCAGCCCCUGCCUCUUGCUUUCCUGGGGCUCUGCAUCAGCACCUGAUGCCCUGGGAGAAAGUCUCCCCUCCCAGGGUGGAGAUCCUGGCCCAGAGAGCCCACUGCCAGGCCGGGGGGAGGGGGGAGCAGCAGCCCCGCUGGGAGGGAAAGGAUGGCAGACACACAGCUGUGUGAGAGCCCCAUGAGUGUGUGUGCGCACCUGCACCUGACCGUGAGUGUGGUGUAUGUGUGUGUCGCUGGCCACUCCGAUGGGAGUGCUCGCCACUCCUGCUCCUCCCUGUUCGUCCUUGCAGGUUCUUCAGCUCUGAGCAGUACAGAACAGGAAAGCCCAUCCCUGGUGAGGCCGCUGGGAACUGCCCUUCUCCUUCCCUCCCUCCCCUUCCAAAAUAGGAUGGGUUUUGGUCCAGGGGACCGGGGAGUCUCUUUUUGAAUACUCUGCCCAGUCCUCAAGGUACUAAGAAGAUGGCAGCCAAUGGUACCUCCCACAUGGCUGCUUGAUCAUUGAGCUGGAUCCAGAGCCUGUUCUGGCAAUUGAGACCUGGGGCCCCUGGGAACUGGGCCCACUGGGGCUGGGUGGGCUGGGUCCUGAGGAC
Molecule: small RNA, 1103 nt
Filed under: Pan troglodytes (chimpanzee)
Lineage: Eukaryota; Metazoa; Chordata; Mammalia; Primates; Hominidae
Description: retained intron
Source: RNAcentral